AAAAAAAGCCUUUCGCUUACACCGAAAUUAUGCCUGUUAAAACCAGGUCACUUUGAGCCAAAACUCUAG
Molecule: transfer RNA, 69 nt
Filed under: Pelodytes punctatus (parsley frog)
Lineage: Eukaryota; Metazoa; Chordata; Amphibia; Anura; Pelodytidae
Description: tRNA-Val
Source: RNAcentral